This 287-nucleotide long non-coding RNA is filed under the name Medicago truncatula (barrel medic). RNAcentral describes it as "long non-coding RNA (MTRU_LNC002651)". Lineage: Eukaryota; Viridiplantae; Streptophyta; Magnoliopsida; Fabales; Fabaceae. The record is from RNAcentral.
UUUUCUUCAUCUUCCAUUUCCAUCAUCACCAUGGAAGCUACUGCAACUCUACUCAGCUUCUCUCUUCCAUCCACCAAAACCCAAUCUUUUCAAAUCCUAACCCGACCCAUUAACCCAUUCAACCCACCCACAUCAUACAAACAUAGACCCAUUUCCAAAACCCACCGUUUAUCCAUCAACGCCGCAAUUUCACGCACAAAGAAAGAAGAAACAGUUGAAACCGUAAAAGAACAACUUGAAAACUGUUACCUCCUCGCCGGAAUCAACUACAAAGGCUUCACCGUAAA